Molecule: transfer RNA, 72 nt
Filed under: marine sediment metagenome
Description: tRNA-OTHER
Rfam family: tRNA
About the family: Transfer RNA (tRNA) molecules are approximately 80 nucleotides in length. Their secondary structure includes four short double-helical elements and three loops (D, anti-codon, and T loops).
Source: RNAcentral
GGGCCGAUAGCUCAAGGUAGAGCACGACUCUUAAUAAGGUCGUGGUUGGCGGUUCAAGUCCGCCUCGGCCUA